Molecule: long non-coding RNA, 475 nt
Filed under: Ananas comosus (pineapple)
Lineage: Eukaryota; Viridiplantae; Streptophyta; Magnoliopsida; Poales; Bromeliaceae
Description: long non-coding RNA (ACOM_LNC039942)
Source: RNAcentral
UAACAGUAUAAUUUUGCAACUAGUACUUUUUCUCAUUUAAUCGAACAAAGAGUAAAACCUAAUUAAAUUAUUCUAAUAUGCCCCGAGAGUGUAAAUUUGGAACGAAUCGAUGUCAACGUUCACAAGAACCAAAACAGGAACAACAUUAGACUACUCAGUUGCGCCAUAACAGUAUAACUUUUCAACGAGUACUUUUUCUCAUUGUAUCGAACAAGGAGUAAAAGCUUUCUAUUAUGCCCCGAGAGUGUAAAUUUGGAACGAAUCGAUGUCAAUGUUCACAAGUACCAAAACCGGAACAACGUUAGUGUCACGCCCCGAGACCGCUACCAAUUUGGUCCGGCCCCGGACGCGUCGAACAGACGCCGAACGGACAGGACCUCCCCUGUCCGUCCAAGGCUAACCAACGGAUCAUGUAUAAGAAUUUACCCAGGAAUCAAUUCAUAAAUACACGAUCAAAAAGCACCACCAGUGCAAC